AUUGAACGCUGGCGGCAGGCCUAACACAUGCAAGUCGAGCGAGCGGCGGACGGGUGAGUAAUGUAUGGGGACUGCCCGAUAGAGGGGGAUAACUACUGGAAACGGUGUCUAAUACCGCAUACUAUCGGAUAACCCAUAUGGGAUUAGCUAGUAGGUGCGGUAAAGGCUCACCUAGGCGAUGUUCUCUAGCUGGUCGGAGGGGAUGAUUAGCAAGACUGGAAGUGAGACAGGGCCCAGACUCCUGCGGAGUCAGCAGUGGGGAAUAUUGCGGAAUGAGCGCGAGCCUGAUGCAGCUCUGCAGCGUGUAUGAAGAAGGCAUUAGGGUGGUAAAGUACUUUCAGCGGGGAGGCGUUACCCGCAGAAGAAGCACCGGCUAACUCCGUGCCAGCAGCCGCGGUAAUUC
Molecule: ribosomal RNA, 403 nt
Filed under: uncultured bacterium
Lineage: Bacteria
Description: partial 16S ribosomal RNA
Rfam family: Bacterial small subunit ribosomal RNA
Source: RNAcentral